Myodes glareolus (Bank vole) is the source of this 522-nucleotide long non-coding RNA. RefSeq lists it as uncharacterized. Lineage: Eukaryota; Metazoa; Chordata; Mammalia; Rodentia; Cricetidae. The record is from RefSeq and is a predicted model, not a curated record.
GAGGCUCUGCGAGGCUUGAAGUUUGAGGUCAUUUCAGAAGAGCUGAUAGACUUCCACAGCCUAGAACAAGAAGAGGAUCGUUUGUUUGACAGAGGCAAACAUGAGGAUAAAGUAGAAUGAAGCAAGACCCACUAGGUAGCUGCAGGAAACUCAGCAGGUGUCACCAUAGCUAAGAGACAUCUCUGCUGACAAGCUUGAAUAAUGAACUGCACCUUCAAAUCACGGGCCAGGAUAAGCCCUUACCUCCUUGCUUCUUGUCAGAUAUUUGGUUACAGCCACAAGGAAAGUGUGGGUUCCUUCAUACUGUCGGUGGCAGGAUGUUUGCUCAGUUCUGAGGUCAUCGACUUGCCCCUGGUAACAUGAAUACAAAUGCUUGAAUCACCUGUAUUUGAAAACCCCAGCUUAAUGCAGGUCAAACUGCUCCUCAGUGUGAUGAGGCCUGCAAGAUUAACAGAAAGGGGUCACGUGUUGAUGGAUGCCUUAUGAGAAACAUCUUAUGGAAAUUAAACCGCAAGAAAGCUU